This 497-nucleotide ribosomal RNA is filed under the name uncultured bacterium. Its description in RNAcentral is "partial 16S ribosomal RNA". It matches the Rfam family "Bacterial small subunit ribosomal RNA", at positions 28 to 507 of the family's 1533-position model. The record is from RNAcentral.
GAUGAACGCUGGCGGCGUGCCUAAUACAUGCAAGUCGAACGCAUAGCGAAAGGUGCUUGCACCUUUCAAGUGAGUGGCGAACGGGUGAGUAACACGUGGACAACCUGCCUCAAGGCUGGGGAUAACAUUUGGAAACAGAUGCUAAUACCGAAUAAAACUUAGUGUCGCAUGACACAAAGUUAAAAGGCGCUUCGGCGUCACCUAGAGAUGGAUCCGCGGUGCAUUAGUUAGUUGGUGGGGUAAAGGCCUACCAAGACAAUGAUGCAUAGCCGAGUUGAGAGACUGAUCGGCCACAUUGGGACUGAGACACGGCCCAAACUCCUACGGGAGGCCGCAGUAGGGAAUCUUCCACAAUGGGCGAAAGCCUGAUGGAGCAACGCCGCGUGUGUGAUGAAGGCUUUCGGGUCGUAAAGCACUGUUGUAUGGGAAGAACAGCUAGAAUAGGAAAUGAUUUUAGUUUGACGGUACCAUACCAGAAGGGGACGGCUAAAUACGUG